UACGGAGGAUGCGAGCGUUAUCCGGAUUUAUUGGGUUUAAAGGGUGCGUAGGCGGAUUAAUAAGUCAGUGGUGAAAUGCUGCAGCUUAACUGUAGAAUUGCCAUUGAUACUGUUAGUCUUGAGUACGGUCAAGGUAGGCGGAAUGUGUAAUGUAGCGGUGAAAUGCUUAGAUAUUACACAGAACACCGAUUGCGAAGGCAGCUUACUGGGCCGCAACUGACGCUGAUGCACGAAAGCGUGGGGAGCGAAC
RNAcentral lists this ribosomal RNA (250 nucleotides) under uncultured bacterium. Its description in RNAcentral is "partial 16S ribosomal RNA". It matches the Rfam family "Bacterial small subunit ribosomal RNA", at positions 524 to 773 of the family's 1533-position model. The record is from RNAcentral.